This 253-nucleotide ribosomal RNA is filed under the name uncultured bacterium. RNAcentral's name for it is "partial 16S ribosomal RNA". It matches the Rfam family "Bacterial small subunit ribosomal RNA", at positions 524 to 776 of the family's 1533-position model. The record is from RNAcentral.
UACGUAGGUGGCGAGCGUUGUCCGGAUUUACUGGGCGUAAAGCGCGCGCAGGCGGCAGUCUAAGUCCUCUGUGAAAUCACCCGGCUCAACUGGGUGGCUGCGGAGGAGACUGGGCAGCUUGAGGGGCCUAGAGGCCGGUGGAACUCCCGGUGUAGUGGUGAAAUGCGUAGAGAUCGGGAAGAACACCAGUGGCGAAGGCGGCCGGCUGGGGGCGCCCUGACGCUGCGGCGCGAGAGCGUGGGGAGCAAGCCGG